CCAAGGAAAGGAUAAACGGUUAUACUAGUACAUUUCAUAUAAACAGGUAUAAAAAGCACAAUAUAAAUAUAUAACUAUCAAUAACUAUUAGGAAUGACCAGUAAAUUAAUCUUACUAAGUUGGCGGAAGAAGUCCGGAAGUGCGGCCCUUGCUGCCGAUCCACCGACGGUCCACCAUGACGUCACCGACGAUCCACCAUGACGUCACCGACGAUCCACCAUGAAGUCACUUAACGAUCCACGACGAGAUGGCUACUGCCUUAGGAGGCAGGUUUCUUUUAGGGCUUGUCUCUCUAUCGCUCCACCUUCAACGUUCCAGUUCAGUUGUCACAGAAACGGUACACAAGGAUAACCGCUACUCCCCACUUCCGGUAAGUUGGCGGAAGAAGUCCGGAAGUGCGGCCCUUGCUGCCGAUCCACCGACGGUCCACCACGACGUCACCGACGAUCCACAUGACGUCACCGACGAUCCACCAUGAAGCAUCACUUUAACGAUCCCGGACAGAGAGGCUUACUGCCUUAGGGCAGGUUUCUUUUAGGGCUUGUCUCUCUAUCGCUCCACCUUCAACGUUCCAGUUCAGUUGUCACAGAAACGGUACACAAGGAUAACCGCUACUCCCCCACUUCCGGGUAAGUGCUAAGCGCGUGACACCCCGGGCCUUCGUUCCUUAUUGGUGCGAGGAUCAGUGCUUGGAACGCUGAAUCUCACUUCUUUACUUCUUGUUUGUUUUUCUUUUUUUUUUUUAGUUGGAAGAGGGUUUCGCUCUUGUUACC
This 773-nucleotide long non-coding RNA is filed under the name Aotus nancymaae (Ma's night monkey). RNAcentral describes it as "lncRNA (ENSANAG00000039329.1)". The record is from RNAcentral. Lineage: Eukaryota; Metazoa; Chordata; Mammalia; Primates; Aotidae.